Molecule: ribosomal RNA, 485 nt
Filed under: uncultured bacterium
Lineage: Bacteria
Description: partial 16S ribosomal RNA
Rfam family: Bacterial small subunit ribosomal RNA
Source: RNAcentral
AUUGAACGCUGGCGGCAUGCCUUACACAUGCAAGUCGAACGGCAGCACGGGUGCUUGCACCUGGUGGCGAGUGGCGAACGGGUGAGUAAUACAUCGGAACAUGUCCUGUAGUGGGGGAUAGCCCGGCGAAAGCCGGAUUAAUACCGCAUACGAUCUACGGAUGAAAGCGGGGGACCUUCGGGCCUCGCGCUAUAGGGUUGGCCGAUGGCUGAUUAGCUAGUUGGUGGGGUAAAGGCCUACCAAGGCGACGAUCAGUAGAUGGUCUGAGAGGACGACCAGCCACACUGGGACUGAGACACGGCCCAGACUCCGACGGGAGGCAGCAGUGGGGAAUUUUGGACAAUGGGCGAAAGCCUGAUCCAGCAAUGCCGCGUGUGUGAAGAAGGCCUUCGGGUUGUAAAGCACUUUUGUCCGGAAAGAAAUCCUUGGCUCUAAUACAGUCGGGGGAUGACGGUACCGGAAGAAUAAGCACCGGCUAACUACGU